ACCCAAUAGAUACCCGGGUAGUCCACGCCCUAAACUAUGUCGACUGGUUGUUGGGGGUUUGGCACUCUCAGUAAACGAAAGCUAAACGCGUGAAAGUCGACCGCCUGGGGAGUACGGCCGCAAGGUUAAAACUCAAAGGAAUUGACGGGGACCCGCACAAGCGGUGGAUUAUGUGGAUUAAUUCGAUGCAACGCGAAAAACCUUACCUACCCUUGACAUGUCCUGAAGCCUGGAGAGAUCCGGGUGUGCCCGAAAGGGAACGGGAACGCAGGUGCUGCAUGGCUGUCGUCAGCUCGUGCCGUGAGAUGUUGGGUUAAGUCCCGCAACGAGCGCAACCCUUGUCAUUAGUUGCUACAUUCAGUUGGGCACUCUAAUGAGACUGCCGGUGACAAACCGGAGGAAGGUGGGGAUGACGUCAAGUCCUCAUGGCCCUUAUGGGUAGGGCUUCACACGUAAUACAAUGGCGCGUACAGAGGGUUGCCAAGCCGCGAGGUGGAGCCAAUCCCAGAAAGCGCGUCGUAGUCCGGAUCGCAGUCUGCAACUCGACUGC
This 550-nucleotide ribosomal RNA is filed under the name uncultured bacterium. Its description in RNAcentral is "bacterial SSU rRNA". It matches the Rfam family "Bacterial small subunit ribosomal RNA", at positions 772 to 1319 of the family's 1533-position model. The record is from RNAcentral.